This 451-nucleotide ribosomal RNA is filed under the name uncultured bacterium. RNAcentral's name for it is "partial 16S ribosomal RNA". It matches the Rfam family "Bacterial small subunit ribosomal RNA", at positions 354 to 796 of the family's 1533-position model. The record is from RNAcentral.
GUGGGGAAUAUUGCGCAAUGGGGGAAACCCUGACGCAGCGACGCCGUGUGGGGGAAGAAGGCUUUCGGGUCGUAAACCUCUGUCAGAAAGGAAGAACCUCCCAAGUCCGAAUAGGGCUUGGGACUGACGGUACUUUCAAAGGAAGCACCGGCUAACUCCGUGCCAGCAGCCGCGGUAAUACGGAGGGUGCAAGCGUUAAUCGGAAUCACUGGGCGUAAAGCGCGCGUAGGCCGCUUUGUAAGUCGGACGUGAAAGCCCUCGGCUCAACCGGGGAACGGCGUUCGAUACUGCGAGGCUUGAGUCCUGGAGAGGGUGGCGGAAUUCCGGGUGUAGGAGUGAAAUCCGUAGAUAUCCGGAGGAACACCGGUGGCGAAGGCGGCCACCUGGACAGGUACUGACGCUGAGGCGCGAAAGCGUGGGGAGCAAACAGGAUUAGAAACCCUAGUAGUCC